CUGGUCUGAGAGGAUGACCAGCCACACUGGAACUGASACACGGUCCASACUCCUACGGGAGGCAGCAGUGGGGAAUAUUGCACARUGGGCGCAAGCCUGAUGCASCCRUGCCGCGUGUAUGAAGAAGGCCUUCGGGUUGUAAAGUACUUUCAGCGGGGAGGAAGGMGAUGCGGUUAAUAACCGCGUCKAUUGACGUUACCCGCARAAGAAGCACCGGCUAACUCCGUGCCAGCAGCCGCGGUAAUACRGAGGGUGCAAGCGUUAAUCGGAAUUACUGGGCGUAAAGCGCACGCRGGCGGUCUGUUAAGUCAKAUGUGAAAUCCCCGGGCUUAACCUGGGAACUGCAUUUGAAACUGGCAGGCUUGAGUCUUGUAGAGGGGGGUAGAAUUCCAGGUGUAGCGGUGAAAUGCGUAGAGAUCUGGAGGAAUACCGGUGGCGAAGGCGGCCCCCUGGACAAAGACUGACGCUCAGGUGCGAAAGCGUGGGGAGCAAACARGAUUAGAUACCCUGGUAGUCCACGCCGUAAACGAUGUCGACUUGGAGGUUGUUCCCUUGAGGAGUGGCUUCCGGAGCUAACGCGUUAAGUCGACCGCCUGGGGAGUACGGCCGCAAGGUUAAAACUCAAAUGAAUUGACGGGGGCCCGCACAAGCGGUGGAGCAUGUGGUUUAAUUCGAUGCAACGCGAAGAACCUUACCUACUCUUGACAUCCACGGAAUUCGGCAGAGAUGCCUUAGUGCCUUCGGGAACCGUGAGACAGGUGCUGCAUGGCUGUCGUCAGCUCGUGUUGUGAAAUGUUGGGUUAAGUCCCGCAACGAGCGCAACCCUUAUCCUUUGUUGCCAGCGAGUCAUGUCGGGAACUCAAAGGAGACUGCCGGUGAUAAACCGGAGGAAGGUGGGGAUGACGUCAAGUCAUCAUGGCCCUUACGAGUAGGGCUACACACGUGCUACAAUGGCGCAUACAAAGAGAAGCGACCUCGCGAGAGCAAGCGGACCUCACAAAGUGCGUCGUAGUCCGGAUCGGAGUCUGCAACUCGACUCCGUGAAGUCGGAAUCGCUAGUAAUCGUGGAUCAGAAUGCCACGGUGAAUACGUUCCCGGGCCUUGUACACACCGCCCGUCACACCAUGGGAGUGGGUUGCAAAAGAAGUAGGUAGCUUAACCUUCGGGAGGGCGCUACC
RNAcentral lists this ribosomal RNA (1178 nucleotides) under Pantoea agglomerans. RNAcentral describes it as "bacterial SSU rRNA". It matches the Rfam family "Bacterial small subunit ribosomal RNA", at positions 287 to 1457 of the family's 1533-position model. Lineage: Bacteria; Pseudomonadati; Pseudomonadota; Gammaproteobacteria; Enterobacterales; Erwiniaceae. The record is from RNAcentral.